RNAcentral lists this long non-coding RNA (599 nucleotides) under Dasypus novemcinctus (nine-banded armadillo). Its description in RNAcentral is "lncRNA (ENSDNOG00000050028.1)". Lineage: Eukaryota; Metazoa; Chordata; Mammalia; Cingulata; Dasypodidae. The record is from RNAcentral.
GAAAGCGCCAGAAGGCCUGAAGGAUGCUCUGUCUUUUCUGCAGGAUGGCUCUGAGUGCUCGGUGGGGGAGUGACGGUGGUGGGAGUUGAAGAACCGAGGAACCGAGGAGCUGCGAGGAUACGAGUUGGGUGGCAGGGAGCUGGGGGGCAGGGAGCGCGGGGAGGCCUCUCAGCGGUGGAGAGCCCGAGGGGACACAGCGCCUGGCUGCUCCUUCAAGCAGACGCCCGCUCCACAAUGGGCAUUCUUCUUAGUGGAGGAAGGCCUGCCCCGACCCUGGCUUGCGCCGCACCCUUUCCUGUUUUUGACUCUGCUCCUCACCAGCUUCAUGAUUCCUUCUCCCCUUUUGUCCUCACCUCGUCCGGCAGAUCUGGUGUGCGUUGUUGUCUUCCCGGUCCUCCAGACCUGGGCUGCGGGCCUCCUCCCCACUGUCUGACCCUUUCUUCAGAAGGCUUCCAGGGAGGCCCAGUGUAAGGAUUUAAAAGGAUUUACUGAAUAUCUGAUGACUCCUUAUGGGAACUAUGGGAGAUAGGUAAGUGACAAGUAUUUUUAAAAAAUACGUAUUUCUGAAACAUUAAGUAAUUUAAUCUUAUAGGUUCCUG